This 627-nucleotide long non-coding RNA is filed under the name Homo sapiens (human). Its description in RNAcentral is "non-protein coding lnc-FAM19A5-9:1". The record is from RNAcentral. Lineage: Eukaryota; Metazoa; Chordata; Mammalia; Primates; Hominidae.
GGGAGCUAAGCUAUUAGGACACAAAGGCCUAAGAAUGAUACAAUGGACUUUGGGGACUCGAGGGAAAGGGUGGGAGCGGGGUGAGGGAUAAAACACUACACAUUGAGUACAGCGUCCACUGCCUGGGUGAUACGUGGACCAGAAUCUCAGAAACCACCACUAAAGGACACAUCCAAGUAACCAAACACCACUUGUUCCCCCUAAAACUUAUCAAAAUAAAAAUCAAUUUUAAAAAAUCAGCAGAAAAUAUUUUAAGCUACACAGAUGUUUUACCUACAAACAUUUGUUUCACUUAUGUCCCGGACAGGACCUACCACCCCUGAAAGCCUUGCGAGACCAGUAGCCACUGAGCAGGUGGGUGUGGGAUUCCUGGCCUGGUGAGCCUCCCCUGUCCCUGCCCCAGGUGCCUGACUCGAACCUGGAUCUCAUGGGGCUGGCCAGGGAGAUGGGUACCUGGGCAAGGGAGGCAGUGGGAUGCCACAGGACAAUUGUGCCCAGGGAACAGAACAUCUCACAGGACUUAUGACCUUCGAAGCACCUUCCCGGGGGCUGUGUGGCCAGGACAAGCCCCAGGAACAGAACAUCUCACAGGACUUAUGACCUCUGAAGCACCUGCCCGGGGGCUGU